AUUGAACGCUGGCGGCAGGCCUAACACAUGCAAGUCGGACGGUAGCACAGAGAGCUUGCUCUUGGGUGACGAGUGGCGGACGGGUGAGUAAUGUCUGGGGAUCUGCCCGAUAGAGGGGGAUAACCACUGGAAACGGUGGCUAAUACCGCAUAACGUCGCAAGACCAAAGAGGGGGACCUUCGGGCCUCUCACUAUCGGAUGAACCCAGAUGGGAUUAGCUAGUAGGCGGGGUAAUGGCCCACCUAGGCGACGAUCCCUAGCUGGUCUGAGAGGAUGACCAGCCACACAGGAUCUGAGACACGGACGAGACUCCGACGGGAGGCAGCAGUAGGGAAUAUUGCACAAUGGGCGAAAGCCUGAUGCAGCCAUGCCGCGUGUAGGAAGAAGGCCCUCGGGUGGUAAAGUACCUUCAGCUCGGAGGAAGGCGGUGAGGUUAAUAACCUCGCCGAUUGACGUUACCCGCAGAAGAAGCACCGGCUAACUCCGUGCCAGCCGCCGCCGUAA
Molecule: ribosomal RNA, 504 nt
Filed under: uncultured bacterium
Lineage: Bacteria
Description: partial 16S ribosomal RNA
Rfam family: Bacterial small subunit ribosomal RNA
Source: RNAcentral